UUAGUGGGCUAGGGUUUAGGCUUCUAGAAUGCCUUGCAAGGCAAGGAAAUCAGAAAUUUUAAAGGCCUAGGUGCGGCAAAUUAGUGGGCUAGGGUUAGGGUUUGUAGAUAGGGCUUCUAGAAAGCCCAAAACCAAGAAUAGAAACUCUCGAAAACGGAAACCUCCAAGAAUAGAAACUUCCAACUUUAGAAACUUUGGUUUCUAAUUCUGAAUUCUUUGUUCUUCACAUUCAUUUCUUCAUUUCUUAAGCUCCUUUGCCCUUCAAACUCGUCCAUUCCUUGUGCUCCAAGCAUGUACUUUCCAAUCUAAGCUCCAUUUUGCUCCAAAAGGCUCCAAUUUGCAUCCUUUUAUGUCAUAUGCCCUUUAAGCCUGAAAACACAUGAAAGUAGCUCAAAAGACUACUUUAACGACGAAAACAUAACGAAAAUGCAUAAGAACUAGCUAACUAAGGCGCAUAAAUAUGCUCCUAUCAAAUUCCCCCACACUUAGCUUUUGCUAGUCCUCGAGCAAAACAAAGAAACAAAAGAAAAACAAAACGAAACAAAACAACCAAAAAUAACCUAAACCUUCCAACGUUUGCCUCAGGGAUUUCCAAUGCACAUGACAUAUUAAAAAUCAUCAUUCCCACAGAUUUUAGCCAUCUUUACACUUAAGCACAUACUUAAUUAUAGUUACCACGUACUAAUUCGCAUUUAACCAAGUAAAACAUGAUUUUGAAUGUAGUAACAUGCCUUAGAGAAUUUGCUCAAUUCCUCACUAGAUAUGCACUCAAUUUUCACACAGAUUUUCUGACUACACACCCUAUACUAGUUAUAUGUGAGAAGAUUGAUGUAAAUAUGAAAACGAAUGCUCACAUAUGUUACAACAAGGAAAGCUUUUUCUGAGUUUAAUAAGCAUGUAUAUGAUCUCAUGAAAGGAAUGCUACUACUUAGACGCGAGAACCAGUGACACCAUAUGCUCAUACCAAUCCCAAACUCCACAAAUUGAAAUACACAACACUCAAGAUAGAAGUUAAGGGUUGUAACGGGGCUUGGGGUAUUGGCUAACAAAGAAAGGUGAAGGGUAAACAAACGUUCUUAAAACAAUAGUAAGCAAAGCAAUGAAAUUGACACUUAGAAUUCACUUUUGGGUGAAAAAAUCACUUUUUAAGCUCAAAGGGAAAAUUCAUGCAACACUUAGGGUCAAAGUCAAUGUUUUGGACCCCUUCUUCAACAACCAACACCUUAGAGCUCAUUUUCAUGCUCUUUUACUCUUUUUCACACUUUUCACAAACAUCUUUCUUUGUUUUUUUUUUUUCUUUUUUUUUCUACGAAUUUCUUUUUCUUUUCUUUUUUUCUUUUCUCGUGCCUCAUUUAAGACUUUGGUACAUACUACACAAGGCUCACAUUCCCCCACACUUGUUUUCUGCACACCCUCAAUCAAAAGGAAUUCAUUUUAAGUCAUGCUUAUUAUGCUUUAAGAACAAGGGUAUAGAUGGUCCUAAUCUAGGCUAGGUAAGGAUAAUGUGGGUUAACAAACAAUAUAGGCUAAACAAGGCUCAACGGGGCUAAAACCUACAAAAACAAAUGUAUGGAAUGAAGGCUUUUUGGCUAUGGUGGUAACUACUAAACAACUUCAUCUUGAAUACGUGUUAUGCAAUUCAAUGAAAUGUUUUGAAUGAAAUUGGCAUGAGUUCUAGCAUUUGGAACUAAAGUGAUGAAACGCAUUCUAAGUAACAACCAAGCAAAGAAUAAUGAGAUCAUGCAACGACUUUAGAAAACAAGAAUGCACAGAUUUUAACUCUCCAAAUAAAGUUUAGGCUCAAAUCUCUCAGGGAUGUAACGUUAGUUUGAGUUCCUUCCUUCAAGCAUGUUACAAAAACUAAUUUUUUUUCCUUUAUGAUUACAUGUGAAUUCAUAAGUUAUAACCACAACCAAGCAUAAACCAAGAGUAAAUCAAACUUUCAUCCAUGUUUAUAACUCUCUUUAACAGUCAUGCAAUUAAAAACCGAAUCCUCAUCAUUGUGUUGGAAGGUACCCUAAGACACAAACAACCACACAAAAACAACUCUUUUUGGGUUUUUUUAAAACAAAUUUUCAAAUUUUUAUGGGAUUUUCGGAUUUUUGAAUCAAAACACAUUAAAACACACCAAAACAGCUUAAAAACACCUAAAAACAGCAAGAAACAACAUUGGGAAGUAUGAGUGAGAAAACCCUACGAAUUUGCAUCAAAACACUUUGGUUACCCCCCCACACUUAAACCAAACAUUGUCCUCAAUGUUUCAAGCAUAGACUCACACAAAAACACAUAAACAAAACAAACAAACACUAAACAACCGAACAUGGCAGAAACGAAAUAAACAACAAAGAGAAGGGUUUAGGAACGCAAAUCUGGAAUUGGAGUGCUCUCUAGGUCUUCCUUUGUCGAAUGCAUGGGUUGCCUCCCAAGAAGCGCUUGCUUUAACGUCUUCCAGCCGGACGGUACCUCCGUUUAAGCUUGACUAUGUUCAAUUGCAUGGAGGGGUACAUCCUCCAUGACAUGCUCCUUGAAAUACUCAUGCAUUGGGUCUAUGUAUGGCAGUGGAUAAUGAUGGUCCCAGAUUGUGGCAUUGAGCUUCCCAAGGUCAAAGUAAAAACUCCCAUAAUCAUGGAUUCGAUUUGGUACCUGCACCACAGAAGGCAAUAACCUAUUAGUGGAAACGGGAAUUGGAAUUAGAGGAGGAGGCUUACCAAUGCAUGUAGAUGAAGACUCAAAAGGGGCAGCAAAGGUGGUGCUCUCGGCCAGAUUUGGUAUUUUGGGUGUAAUGACAUGUUUCGUAUGCUUCACUCCAAUACCCUCUUUGAUGAUGCAUCUAGGGACAUCCUUCUUGAUUGGUGCGCAUGAAUGUUCCUUCCCCACAUUUUUAAUCACAUCUAUUGCAAAACAAAGAACGAACAUCAUUAGGAUUCUUAACAUAUUCAGGAACUUUGAAUUUAAUCAAUUCAUCACCAAACUCCAUUGUUAACUCUCCCUUAGCCACAUCAAUCUUGGUUUGGGCUGUCUUCAUGAAGGGCCUCCCUAAUAGUAUCGGCAAUGGGGUAGAAUAGGGUGAAUCCUCCAUAUCAAGCACGUAAAAGUCCGCUGGAAAAAUCAAAUUGCCCACCUGCACCAAAACAUCUUCCAAAACACCCUUUGGAUAUGCAUUAGAACGAUCGGCUAAUUGAAUAAUCACACCAUCGUUUUUAAGCUCACCUAAGUUCAUAGAUGCAUAAAUAGAGUAUGGCAUAACAUUAAUCGAAGCCCCUAAGUCUAACAUGCAUUGUUCAAACUUAGUCUUGCCAAUAACGCACGGAAUUGUAAAACUACCCGGAUCUUUGCAUUUAGGGGGUAAUUUCCUUUGUAACAUGGCAGAAACAUUCUCACUUACUUGGACCACCUCUUUGUUCGAAAUCCUUCUCCUUGAUGUACAAAGUUCUUUUAAAAACUUAGCAUACCUCGGGACUUGCUUAAUUGCAUCAAGGAGCGGAAUAUUGACUUGAACUUUUCGAAAGGUCUCUAGAAUGUCCUUCUCGGCUUCUUCCUUCUUUGAUUGCCUAAACCUGCCAGGAAAGGGCACAUUCAGUGGAAUAGAACUAGAAAAAGUCGAAUUUGGACUUACCUUGGUGGUUGAGGACGACUUAGGAGGGUUAGAGGGUGGCGGCAUGGAUUGGUCAUCCUUGGCCGUGGGUUUUGCUUUUUGUGCCUCCUCUUGCAUCAACUUGUCCUCCUCGUCUUGACUUGAUUUGGAUGUAUUUGAGUCCGCUCCAACCUGUGUACCACUUCUCAACAUGAUUGCAUUGACGGUUUCAAAGCCUCCUUUCGGGUUCACAACGGUUGAACUAGGCAAUCUGCCUUGUUCUCUAAUUUGCCCCAUAAACUCUGCAAUUUGACCCAUCUGCUUCUCCAAGUUGUCCACCCGUUUGUCUUGGAUUUGUCUCUCCUUAUUUUGAGUUUGUACUUCCUGCGUCAAAGUAGUAAGUAACUUAACAACUUGAUCAUUAUCCAAAGACGUACCUGAGGUUGGUGGGGCGGUUUGCACUUGGUUUUGAUUGGGGACGAAUGGCUUUGUAUAAAAGCCCGGUGGUUGUUGCCUAAAUCCUCCUUGUUGUUGGGGUUGUUGAGGAUCCCGCCAUUUGAAAUUCGGAUGGUCCCUCCACCCCGGAUUGUAGGAAUUAGAGUAUGGAUCAUGGCGUGGUUGAUUUUGGUUCCCAAAACCCACGGCAUUGGCAGAUUCCCAACCCCCAUUCUCAAUCAAUUGAGGGCAUUGAUCAUUGGCAUGUCCUUGCAUCGAGCACACGCCACACACACUUGGUCCAUGAAUCUUCAUUCCCUCGGCCAACUGAAAAACAAUAGAAGUAAGGUUAGCUAAUUGGGAUUGAAUCUCGGGCAUAGAACUUACCUCAUUCACUUGUGGCCGUGGGGGGUCCCUUUGUCCAACACCUUCGUAUUGUUGUGCAUUAUGUGCUCGGUUGGCAAUUAGAACUUUUGCAGCCCCCGGAGUUUUAUCCACCAACGCACCCCCCGCCGAGGCAUCAAGCAUUUGGCGUUCCAUGGGAAGGAGUCCUUCAUAGAAAUAUUGAAUGAGCAGCUCCUCCUUCAUUUGAUGCUGUGGACAAGAAGCAACAAGUGAUUUAAAACGUUCAUAAUAAGAAGGAAACGAUUCACCUUGGUUUUGUUGGAUGCCACUAAUCCGUUUCCUCAAGAGAAUGACUCUUGAAGUUGGGAAAAACUUCUCCAAGAAAGCUCUUUUCAUACUAUCCCAAGAUGUAACCGUUCCGGGUGCUAACUCGUAAAGCCAAUCUUUCGCCUUUUCCAAAAGUGAGAAUGGAAAGGCCUUCAUCAUCAGAAUACUCCCGUCAACAUUGAUGGGUGUCAUGCUCGAACAAACAACCUCGAACUCCUUGAGAUGCUUGUUGGGAUCUUCCAUGGAAAGCCCAUGGUAUUUCGGAAUGUGGUGCAACAAGAACAUAAAAACAUAAUGUAGAACACUAAACUAGACUCAAUUAAUGCAAAACUAGAGUUUAAAACACUUAAAUCAACCAAAAACUCAAAACAGCAACUAAAAGACUCAAAACUGCCUUAAAACCACUUUCUGGGCAGUUUUGAGUACCUAACACUAAUUUGGACGAAAUUGGACUAUAACUUGACUCAAAGCACUUAAAAACACAAACUAAAUUGAUUUCUAACUAAUCUAACACUUUAAAAUCAAUGGGGGAAUGAUUUUGACGAAAAUUGAAACUUUAAAACUUAAACUUUGAAAACAAACUUAAAGCAAAACAUAUUGUGAUGAAAUAGAAUGGUGAGAAACUAGUUAGAGGGUUCCUUAUCCACACAUGAACAUAUGCAUACAACUCAAUCUCCAAUUACUCUUUCAACAAACCAUGAAUGACAAUGCCCCAAAUUAACUAGAUUGCACCAAUUAAUUCUCAGAUUUCCCUAGAUUCAUUGAAUUGAAUGGAAUACGCAUUACAACCAAAUUAUUCUUAUCAAGGACCCUAACUAUGGAAUACGCAUGAUAGAGACACAUAUCAAAGAUCAUUAAGUUUAAUGGAAAUCAUAAGCAUUGACGAGGCAUUCAUAACUAUGGGAUACGCAUGUUACUCUUGCCUAGGAUUUACUUAACACAAUCGUGACUAGCGACUUUCACCACUUAUGAAUUUAAGUUAAUAACGAUUAGGUGAAAUUCCCUUAUACCCUAGCAUCAAGUUUAAGCAUGCAAAUUAAGUGUCGACCCUCAACCCACAUACAUAAACAAGUUAUCAAUCAAAUAGAUAAGUAAAUCACAUUCACAAUUUCUGAAAUCAUAAUUGGAAGAAAUCAAAUCAUAUAAAACAUAUGUCCAUGGCUUCAAAUUCACCUCUAACUAAAAAGAAAUUAGUUCCACAUGUCUAACAUAAUUGAACGACAAUUUAAAUUAAACAUGAAAACAGAAACAAAGAAAGAAAGAACUCCAAACACUCCACUAAUGGCAGAUUGCAUGUGCAAGGCUUCUCCUUCCUUUGGACUGCACGGCACUCCUUCUUUCUCCUCCUUUAGUGGCUGCACAAGGUGGAUGAAUGGUUAUGGAAGGAUGUAGGAAUGGUUUGGGGAAGAGGAUGGUGCGGCAAGGUUGAAUUUGGGCAGAAAGUUGGGAGUUUGGGGAUGGAAGGCUGCGGCAAGGUGGGAAAUAGGGUGUUGGACGAAUUUCUGAAUAUGGAGAGGGUGAUAGAUUCGGCCAAGAGGUUUCAGAGAGUAUAUAUAGGCACUUAAACCCUAGCAAUCAGAUUAGGGUUUCUAGAAACCCAAAUCCACCAGAAAAUAGGUUAAAACAAUCAGAAUUUGCAAGGGAAAAGGCCUAGGGUUCGGCUGGUUUAGUGGGCUAGGGUUUAGGCUUCUAGAAUGCCUUGCAAGGCAAGGAAAUCAGAAAUUUUAAAGGCCUAGGUGCGGCAAAUUAGUGGGCUAGGGUUAGGGUUUGUAGAUAGGGCUUCUAGAAAGCCCAAAACCAAGAAUAGAAACUCUCGAAAACGGAAACCUCCAAGAAUAGAAACUUCCAACUUUAGAAACUUUGGUUUCUAAUUCUGAAUUCUUUGUUC
Molecule: long non-coding RNA, 6569 nt
Filed under: Malus domestica (apple)
Lineage: Eukaryota; Viridiplantae; Streptophyta; Magnoliopsida; Rosales; Rosaceae
Description: long non-coding RNA (MDOM_LNC018157)
Source: RNAcentral